UUCCAAUUGAAAGGAAAGUAUCAAACUUGGAAGAAUUUAAAACAAAGGUGCUGGAUGUUUAACGUCUCCGCAUGUUCCAACCCCAGAGAGAAGCCAUCCUUUCCUGUUAUUCAUAUCACAUAAAGAUUUCAUUUCAAAGGUGGUUCCCACCUUUCCCUUUGUGAACCAAGUCCUGCCCUCUGAAAAAGUCUUCGAAGCUAACAAAAGCAGUUCUGAGAUGAAGAAAGCAGGGAGUGCACCAUUGGAUCAAGUUGUGAGGUUUUUU
Non-coding RNA from Cyanistes caeruleus (blue tit), 265 nucleotides. The record is from RefSeq and is a predicted model, not a curated record. NCBI's taxonomy places the organism in Eukaryota, Metazoa, Chordata, Aves, Passeriformes, Paridae.